AAAUACAAGUGUAACUCAAAUGACCAUCAUGGCCAACUCUACCUUCAUCAUCACCUAGUAACAGCUGGGAGAGCAGCUAGUGAGAGGACUAAAGGGACACUUCACCCCAAAACACAAUUUUCUGACUUCUUAUCCAGCAAUCUGACCAACCACCUGUUCACAGAGUUUGUGUUUUCUUUGAUUAAAUUUAGCUGUUAUUUAUUUUACAGUAUUAUAUCUUGUUUUGCACUGUUUCUGUUGUGUUUUGGGUGUCAACUGGCCCUUUAAACUGGAGUAGUUUGUAAAAUGUAGCCAGAAUUUUAAAGGUAGCUCCAAACCAUCGCGGGCAGCAUAUCACCAGGGUGACAGACAACUGCUGCUCUUUGCUAGCUAUUCUCAGCUGUAGCGAGCUACCAUUAGCAAAUUAGCACAUGGAUCAGUUAGCCGCAGAGCAAGCGGUCUAACAGUUUGACUGUACAGGGAACCUGGAUCACUGAGGGUGUCAACACGGGCGAUGGGGCCCGUAGGACUUAGGGACAGUAGGACACGGCAGCCAGCAAAAAUGGCAUAUAGAGCCAGAAUCUUUGCACUUCUUACGCCAUGAAUUUAGUUUCUGUGUUGACCAAACAAGAUGUGAUUUGGAAAGACAAACCAGGAAUAUUUUGGUCAGUUUUAUUUAGUUUCUGUUGAGUUUGAAGUGUGUUUAAUGAUGAGUUAACAAGACAGUAAAGCUCAUCUUAGCUCAGUACGAGAGAAACUUGAAUUCGGAGGGUGUACUAUUGUAAUCUUCUGUUCAGUAAGGAAUAAUUUCUUGAAAUUUUAUACAUUUAAUACAGCUGGCACAUCUCCCAGCUGAAACUGUGAAGGAUAUCAAACUCUAGCCUCUUACAAAGAAGCAUGAAGAGUCAGGACGGGCCUGUUUUCCAUAGACAUCUAUGCAAAACAGUCCUAGGUGUCUUGUUUUUUACACAGUUCAUAAUAUUAAUUAAUUUCUGGCCAUAUCUUACAAAUUGCCCCUUUAAAAUAGGUAUACCAAUUUGCUAAACAUGCAAUUAAUCUUAAAAUCUGCUAACAUUAAAAAGUCUAUUAUUGACAUAAGCAGAUGCAGCACUGUCGCCACAGUCAGGUUAGAUUCAUGCCAAAUGUUUUAGAUUCAACAACCUCUCAGCAAAUAAUAUCUAGAGCAAUACAUCAUGACAAUGAAGAGAGCAAUGCAGAUUUAGAUCAGCACCAACAUGCUUUUUCUAACACACACAGCCUUAAACAAAAUCACCGAUUGAUAGAUAGUAUGCAAUCUGAUUAUCAUUAAAACCUAAAUAACAAAGUUAUUCAUAUUCAUAAUUAUUCAUUUGUUAGGGAAGCUGGUUCCCUGUUAGACCCUUGUUCAAAGAGUAAAUAAAGUUUUAUGUGAUCACGUUUGUGAUCUUUGACUACAUGUUUGUUUUUAGCAGGUAUAUAACCGUUAAUAUUACAAUGAGCUAACUUAAGUUACGCGUCAAGAUGUAUCAUAAUUUAUUAGAGCUAUAAGGGUUCGCUAACGUUACUAAACAAAAGAUAAAGUUAACACUGAGUUAGCUAUGUUCAUUAAAAAAUAAAGUCCAGCCAAAUGAAAGAUAGAUUUGUAAAAUUUUCAUCUGCAAAUCAACACAGAUAUUUACUGAAAAACGCUGUUUGAGUUAACGUUGCGUUGUUAGUUUUAGCUAACGUUGGCUAAUUUAUAAUCAUGACAUCGUGCACGUUCAACCUGCGGCAGAAACGCAAUGCUAACAAAGAAACGCCCCCCAAGGCAAAAGGAAUGCUGCUUAAACCUGAGAAGGUGUAGGAGGGAUCCACGAGCUGCCGUGUGUUGAUCAGACUCGUUUGCUUCUGCAGAUGAAGGUUACAGAGCCGGCAGUGAUGGUCUGGAAAACAGCUUUCAAAAGAAUCACAGCGACUGACCUCGACCAUUUCCUCCCCUUGGAUCUCUCUGACUGAGGUGAACUUUGCAGUCUCAGAAAUCAGCUUCCCAUCCUCCUCU
This is a long non-coding RNA of Acanthopagrus latus (yellowfin seabream), 1996 nucleotides long. RefSeq lists it as uncharacterized. The record is from RefSeq and is a predicted model, not a curated record. The transcript is spliced from 3 exons. Lineage: Eukaryota; Metazoa; Chordata; Actinopteri; Spariformes; Sparidae.